GCAACAUCUUCUGGCAGAAUGAGAUCAGAGCCAAAGGCUUUUGGUGCGGUUCAGUAUCCAUAAGGAUUGUUUUCCACUCCCUCAGUGUUUUCAAGAAGGCCACAAAGGACAGUUAUGAUAAAAGGAACAAAUUCAAAAUAGAACUUACAGUUCAAAAAGUGAGAAUUACUGGUUUUAUUUGUUGUUUGGUGGUUGUGUACUUCUGUAAUUUAGUAGUCAUAUAUAUAUAUAUUCCAAUUUUCCCUUUCAGAUUAGGAAGCUCAGUGAACUUUUCCGACCUGCCGUGUUUCAAUCAGUGCCAUCAGAUGCAGUGCCUGUCCAUUCCCCAUCAAUUCAGGAUAGGAAAGUGGGAAACCUUUGCCAAGUCAGUGGUGAUGGUCGGAGUUAUCCUGCAGUCUCUCAUGAAAUUGAUCGGCGUAUUGGGCCCACGGAGGUGAUAUCAACACAGAGAGAGGAAGCUCCUCGUGAUUUAUACAUGAGU
This 481-nucleotide unclassified non-coding RNA is filed under the name Hevea brasiliensis (rubber tree). Lineage: Eukaryota; Viridiplantae; Streptophyta; Magnoliopsida; Malpighiales; Euphorbiaceae. The record is from RNAcentral.